This is a non-coding RNA of Cinara cedri, 223 nucleotides long. The record is from the annotation of a GenBank genome assembly. NCBI's taxonomy places the organism in Eukaryota, Metazoa, Arthropoda, Insecta, Hemiptera, Aphididae.
UUUUCUUUCUUUUUCGCAGACAUUUUGUAGGAAUAUCGUACCAUAUUCACUUCAAUCUCUCGCGGUGUACCGCGGUAUUCGACCCGGCCGGCAAUACGUGCAUUCCUUUUUCCCCACUUCAGUGAUCUGUACUCGGGCCAAAAAAAACGAGAGAGAAUUAUACAGUCUGAAAUGAUAUAACAUACAUGCCGAGAGGAGAAGAUGCGAACAUACGAUGAGAAGU